AGUGGGGAAUAUUGGACAAUGGGGGCAACCCUGAUCCAGCAAUGCCGCGUGUGUGAAGAAGGCCUGCGGGUUGUAAAGCACUUUUGGCAGGGAAGAAAAGCUCGGGGUUAAUAACCUCGGGAAUUGACGUCACCUGCAGAAAAAGCACCGGCUAACUCUGUGCCAGCAGCCGCGGUAAUACAGAGGGUGCAAGCGUUAAUCGGAAUUACUGGGCGUAAAGCGCGCGUAGGCGGUCAGGUCAGUCGGAUGUGAAAUCCCCGGGCUUAACCUGGGAAUUGCAGUCGAUACUGCCUGGCUAGAGUGUGGAAGAGGGAAGCGGAAUUUCCGGUGUAGCGGUGAAAUGCGUAGAUAUCGGAAGGAACACCAGUGGCGAAGGCGGCUUCCUGGUCCAACACUGACGCUGAGGCGCGAAAGCGUGGGUAGCGAA
RNAcentral lists this ribosomal RNA (427 nucleotides) under uncultured Lysobacterales bacterium. Its description in RNAcentral is "bacterial SSU rRNA". It matches the Rfam family "Bacterial small subunit ribosomal RNA", at positions 353 to 772 of the family's 1533-position model. The record is from RNAcentral. Lineage: Bacteria; Pseudomonadati; Pseudomonadota; Gammaproteobacteria; Lysobacterales.